UACGUAGGGUGCGAGCGUUGUCCGGAAUUAUUGGGCGUAAAGAGCUCGUAGGCGGUGUGUCGCGUCGGCCGUGAAAACCUGGGGCUUAACUCUGGGCGUGCGGUCGAUACGGGCAUCACUGGAGUUCGGCAGGGGAGACUGGAAUUCCUGGUGUAGCGGUGAAAUGCGCAGAUAUCAGGAAGAACACCAAUGGCGAAGGCAGCUCUCUGGGACGGUACUGACGCUGAGGAGCGAAAGCGUGGGGAGCGAACAGG
This 254-nucleotide ribosomal RNA is filed under the name uncultured bacterium. RNAcentral's name for it is "partial 16S ribosomal RNA". It matches the Rfam family "Bacterial small subunit ribosomal RNA", at positions 524 to 776 of the family's 1533-position model. The record is from RNAcentral.